RNAcentral lists this ribosomal RNA (1346 nucleotides) under uncultured bacterium. Its description in RNAcentral is "partial 16S ribosomal RNA". It matches the Rfam family "Bacterial small subunit ribosomal RNA", at positions 28 to 1381 of the family's 1533-position model. The record is from RNAcentral.
GACGAACGCUGGCGGCGUGCUUAACACAUGCAAGUCGAACGGAAAGGCCCUGCUUUUGUGGGGUGCUCGAGUGGCGAACGGGUGAGUAACACGUGAGUAACCUGCCCUUGACUUUGGGAUAACUUCAGGAAACUGGGGCUAAUACCGGAUAGGAGCUCCUGCUGCAUGGUGGGGGUUGGAAAGUUUCGGCGGUUGGGGAUGGACUCGCGGCUUAUCAGCUUGUUGGUGGGGUAGUGGCUUACCAAGGCUUUGACGGGUAGCCGGCCUGAGAGGGUGACCGGCCACAUUGGGACUGAGAUACGGCCCAGACUCCUACGGGAGGCAGCAGUGGGGAAUAUUGCACAAUGGGCGGAAGCCUGAUGCAGCAACGCCGCGUGCGGGAUGACGGCCUUCGGGUUGUAAACCGCUUUCGCCUGUGACGAAGCGUGAGUGACGGUAAUGGGUAAAGAAGCACCGGCUAACUACGUGCCAGCAGCCGCGGUGAUACGUAGGGUGCGAGCGUUGUCCGGAUUUAUUGGGCGUAAAGGGUUCGUAGGUGGUUGAUCGCGUCGGAAGUGUAAUCUUGGGGCUUAACCCUGAGCGUGCUUUCGAUACGGGUUGACUUGAGGAAGGUAGGGGAGAGUGGAAUUCCUGGUGGAGCGGUGGAAUGCGCAGAUAUCAGGAGGAACACCAGUGGCGAAGGCGGUUCUCUGGGCCUUUCCUGACGCUGAGGAGCGAAAGCGUGGGGAGCGAACAGGCUUAGAUACCCUGGUAGUCCACGCUGUAAACGGUGGGUACUAGGUGUGGGGUCCAUUCCACGGGUUCCGUGCCGUAGCUAACGCUUUAAGUACCCCGCCUGGGGAGUACGGCCGCAAGGCUAAAACUCAAAGGAAUUGACGGGGCCCCGCACAAGCGGCGGAGCAUGCGGAUUAAUUCGAUGCAACGCGUAGAACCUUACCUGGGUUUGACAUGGAUCGGGAGUGCUCAGAGAUGGGUGUGCCUCUUUUGGGGUCGGUUCACAGGUGGUGCAUGGCUGUCGUCAGCUCGUGUCGUGAGAUGUUGGGUUAAGUCCCGCAACGAGCGCAACCCUUGUUCACUGUUGCCAGCACGUUAUGGUGGGGACUCAGUGGAGACCGCCGGGGUCAACUCGGAGGAAGGUGGGGAUGACGUCAAGUCAUCAUGCCCCUUAUGUCCAGGGCUUCACGCAUGCUACAAUGGCUGGUACAGAGAGUGGCGAGCCUGUGAGGGCGAGCGAAUCUCGGAAAGCCGGUCUCAGUUCGGAUUGGGGUCUGCAACUCGACCUCAUGAAGUCGGAGUCGCUAGUAAUCGCAGAUCAGCAACGCUGCGGUGAAUACGUUCCCGGGGCU